RNA transcript from Pan troglodytes (chimpanzee), 2455 nucleotides. RefSeq lists it as uncharacterized. The record is from RefSeq and is a predicted model, not a curated record. Lineage: Eukaryota; Metazoa; Chordata; Mammalia; Primates; Hominidae. The transcript has 2 exons.
CCUGCAGAGGAACAGAAGGGGUCUGAUGAAAAUGUAAGGCCUUUCAUAAGAGAACUUGGUCAUGGGUUGUUCAAAUCAGAAAGGCAAUAAAAGAAGAGACCUAAUACCCUGGAAGCAAGUCCUGGCCUAAGCUGGUGACAAUAUUUCAGUAAGGUUCAAUCUGUGGUGUAGCUGGAAGAGAACCUCCAUGUGAACUUUUCCAGCUCCUAUCUAAGUUACAAGCUGGAAAGUAAGAACUCCAAGUGAAAACCUGCCUCUCUCAGGUUUGGGGGAUAGAGGACAGGAGUAGAAGCUGGUUUCCAAAAAGCGUUCUCCUGACCCCCAAGAACUCACUCCUCUCAUUCUUACUGCUGCCUCCCUCAUACCCCUCACCAAUCAUUCACAUUGAGCUCUCCAGAUACCCUAGAAAGGGACCUGGAGGUAUUGCUGGCAAAUUCCUCCCUACCCCCAAGUUUCUGAAGAGGCAUGAACUCAAAGAUGAGAAGGGGCCCCCUUCAAAACUCUUGGAACAGUCGAGCAAAUGAAAACUCUUAAAGCCAUAAAUUGUCCGGGUGCGGUGGCUCAUGCCUGUAAUCCCAGCACUUUGGGAGGCCGAGGUGGGUGGAUCAUGAGGUCAGCAGUUCGAGACCAGCCUGAACAACAUGGUGCAACCCCGUCUGUACUAAAAAUACAAAAACUAGCCAGGCAUGGUGGUGCAUGCCUGUAAUCCCAGCUAGUCGGGAGGCUGAGGCGGGAAAAUCACUUGAAACCAGAAGGCAGAGGUUGCAGUGAGCUGAGAUCAUACCACUGCACUCCAGCCUGGGACAGAGCGUGACUCUGUCAAAAAAAAAAAAAAAAAGAAGAAGAAAAGAAAAGCAAUAAAUCAAUGAAAUAAGUCAUUGGUACUGCUUCAGAGAAAUGCCUUAACGCCAGCAAAGCUCAGAGGCAUCUCAGCUCCAGCCUGGGGCCUCCGAACGGCUGCUAACAUCCCAGUUAAUGCUCCAACUGCUGUUUAACAAUUAACAUUAAUGACUUGGGGUGGGAUGGGUGAUUUGGUGGGAUGAGAAGGGAAAAAUCUGAAAAGUCAAAAGACAUUUAACUUUUGAGGUUAAAAAACAGCUUCUCUAUGAGAGAUCUUGGCCUGGGCAGCCUAUCUGGGGAACCAGCAGCUGACAGUCCUCCUUUGCCACUCUGCAAUCCACUUUCCUGGAGCAAAGCUACGGGCCUUUUAAAAACCCAGCUGCCAGUCCCUCUUCACUCACUUCACCGGCCUCCAACUUGGCCUGUGCUGGGACUGAUACUGUGGUCCUGGUCACCAGAGCCAAAAUAGGGGGAAAGCUGGCUUGGAAAAAGCAGGCAACCAAGGGUACACACCGUUAGCCAAUAUUUGCAAGGCUGUUGGCAGAUUAGAUAUAUCUGUACUCAAACACUGCAAUCUGAUUUCUCUGUCAAAAGUACACUUAACAUUUUUGUCCCAUUACUUAAAUCUAGUGGAUUUUCUACUCAGCAUCAGGAAAAGGAAACGCCAAGACAUAGAAAACCACGCUUUUCCCGUAGGAAGAACCGAUGAUGAGCCCUGAUGAAAGAAAGAAGAAGACCCGCUGUCUGCGAAGGCCUAAAGGUUAGAAAUACAGCAAUUUUUCUCAUGCCGAAGGAAAGGCAAAAUGGUCUAAGAAACUGCAAGGCAGUGAUACAAGUUUUCCUCAACAGCGAGCUGGGACUGGUGACAAUUUCUUAACUCACAGCCUCCGCAGUCGCCCUAGUCGACAAAGAGAGCAGCCCACGCAGCGGCCGCCGCGCCCGUGCCCGUGGCCUUUACUUGCUUUUGCCCUGAAGUUCAGUGUAGUGGUUUGUUUGGGGCUUGCAGGAAGAAACGAACACACUCCCUCUGACUCUCCACAACCCAUCUUUGCCUUCUGCAACCGCUUCUCCUGCCCAUCGCUGAUUUUGGGGUAGGCUCUUUGUCUGCCUGAGGCCCCGCACUCGCAGGGCAAGAAGCUUAAAGGAAUCCAACUCCAAACUCCUCCGAAGUUAAAUAUUGACCAGAACCUCUUUCAACAGGCCGCGGUUGCCAGGAACCGUGGAGGGCCAACUCCUCCCAACCGCCCUGGUGCAAAGUCCCACGCGGCGAAGAGUUUUGGAGCAGCGCUUACCUAGAAAGAUGUUUAAAUUCUGAACCAGGAAUUGUCUCCAACUCCAGGCGCUCAGGGAAUCGCCUUUUCCGGUAUCCAGGCGCUCUGCAGACAAAUAAACAGCAGAAGGUGAAUGGCGGCUGCGAGGGAAGGGAGUUGGAGGCCGGGAGUGGGAAGCGAGGCUCAUGCGGGCGCCAAGGUGGCCCAGGGGGUGACGCGAACACCAAGGAGUCGCCAGGGCACUCGUCCGUGUGGCGCACUCAUUGCUCGAAAUGUUCCAGUCUACAAAUGGCCCGAAGAUGGUGAUUUAUUUUUGUAAAAUAAAUACAUACUCCAUCUCCACA